This 99-nucleotide ribosomal RNA is filed under the name Pan troglodytes (chimpanzee). The record is from RNAcentral. Lineage: Eukaryota; Metazoa; Chordata; Mammalia; Primates; Hominidae.
GUCUAUGGCCAUACCACCCUGAAUGUGCCUGAUAUUGUCUGAUCUUGGAAGCUAAUCAGGGUCAGGCCUGGUUAGUACUUGGAUAGGAGACCAAAUACC